AAGGCACAAGCGCACACAUUAGCCCACAGCUUACACAGGUCAGGGUGGUCAGUAUCUUCACCUCCACUUACUGUUCCGCUGGUAGGUCUUCGGGGCGGUGACACGCGUGGAGAUGUCAUCUCUGAGGAUAAGAAGGUCUUCUUCUGGAACACCUCCUGGAGGACCUGCCUGAGGCUGCUUCAUAGUUUCUGGAGUAUCAGCUAGCUGCUAAGGAAGAAUCAAACUCCUUUCCUGUGAAAGAGCGGAAUGUUCAUGGAAAGAAAAACGUCAAGGGCUCCAGAGUCAAGGGUGGCAUUUGGCAAAUACCAAGGGAAGAAGGCAGCCUGAGAAAGUGGAAAUGGAGCAGGGCUGGGUGGCAGCCACCAAUGCUGACUGGUCCCUCACUGACAGCCCGUUCCCACCCUAGAUGAGGUAAGCCAGGUGGCUUCCGUUGUCAUGCAAAUGACAAGAUGCACACCAUGCAUAUGUCCUCUUAAUGUGGGUCCCCCAGAGGCAGCUCCUGAAGCCAGAAUUUCAGUGGGGGUGUAAUCUGAGGAGCUCCUAGGACACCUGUAGAAGAGUCAGAAGCGAGACGGGGUGAAGGAGCCAAGCACGCUGUGUUGUCAGGAAUGCUGUGGGCAACUGUGGGAGUCAGUGCAGAACAGCUCAGAGUUACGACACAGGAAGGGCGAAGGAGCUGGAGGAA
Molecule: long non-coding RNA, 685 nt
Filed under: Callithrix jacchus (white-tufted-ear marmoset)
Lineage: Eukaryota; Metazoa; Chordata; Mammalia; Primates; Cebidae
Description: lncRNA (ENSCJAG00000078160.1)
Source: RNAcentral